GAGAAAGCUUUCUGUCUGCAUUUCCAUUCAUCUUUAUAAACCUGCAUGUACCCCCUGAAAGUAUGCAGAUUUCAUGUCACUCACUAAGCAUGAGAAGACCCUGCUAGAUGAAACCAUUCUCUUCUUUCUCACUCUCCGCGACACAAGAUGGAUGUACCAGCAGAUAAAACGGCUCACAUGUCAACUUAUGGACUCCAGCCACAAGAGGAACAGGAGCCAAAGCUCAGCACGGUGUGAGAAGGUCGCCCUCAGGCAAGCGUGAGACUGGCCUUGGUAAUUGGCACCAGUGAAUGAGAGGGUCCUGCCACGACUCUGAAACCCAGAGCAAGUGGUGAAAGUGUACUAAGAAGAAAAUCUAAGAUCUGUGAUUGAAUGCAAGGAGUCUCACGGGCCAUAUCAACAAAUGUGACGUCAUUAUGUCAAUCACCUGGUAGCCCCACCCACUUCAAACUCAUAGUCCUGCUCCUCAUUCAUUUUGAACA
Long non-coding RNA from Sinocyclocheilus anshuiensis, 482 nucleotides. RefSeq lists it as uncharacterized. NCBI's taxonomy places the organism in Eukaryota, Metazoa, Chordata, Actinopteri, Cypriniformes, Cyprinidae. The transcript is spliced from 4 exons. The record is from RefSeq and is a predicted model, not a curated record.